CCAGAGAGCUUCCCUCCUCCCUCUCCCCACCGCCACAUGAGGAUACAUAGAGAAGACGGCCUUCUGCAAACCAGGAAGCAACCUGUCACCAGACAUCGGAUUUGCUCGGGCAUUGAUCUUGGACUUCUCAGCCUCCAGAACAGUGAGGAUUGAGUGUGUGCUGUUUCAGCUACAAAACAGUCUAUGGCUCUCAGCUCAACUUCGUGUAACAGACAAGGACAAUGAAAUUCAGGGAGGUCACGGGACUUGUCCAAAGUUGCACACUUAGUAAGAACUGGAGGCGCGACUCCAACCUUUCCGCCCGCCAAAGCUCUUAUGACUAAACAGCAAAUCAUCUUACGAAGACCUGCUGGACUCAAUGGGGGUGUUUUCAGUGACAAUAGUCUAAGGAGUCACCAGAAUAAUGAGCGUUAUAAAGCACAGACAUCGCCAAAAGAAACAAGAGGCACAGGACCCUUCUGGGCUUUGAAGCCCUUCCACACCAGUUCAAAUCCAGCCCCGCCUUUAGUAACAGUCACACCGCUUGCACGUGUGUGAUUCUUGUCUGCUUCAUCCUCUCUGCCUCACUCGGAUAUUAGUGUCACAAGAACAGAUGCUGGCCAUUCUUAUUCAUCGUUGAAUUCUCGGCACUCCGCCCAGAGCCUGGCACGUAGCAGAUGUUCACCAAUAUCUCUUGAAUGUGCUUCUCCAUCAGAUCAGAGUCCUAACAGGAAACAGAUGGAGCGCUCAAAUUAGGG
This is a long non-coding RNA of Hyaena hyaena (striped hyena), 737 nucleotides long. RefSeq lists it as uncharacterized. Lineage: Eukaryota; Metazoa; Chordata; Mammalia; Carnivora; Hyaenidae. The transcript has 3 exons. The record is from RefSeq and is a predicted model, not a curated record.